GUAGUAUUCCCUCCGUCCCAAAAUUCUUGUCAUCCAUUUGUUUAGAUACGGAUGUAUCUAACACUAAAAUGUAACUAGAUACAUCCGUAUUUAGACAAAUUUAAGACAAGAAUUUUGGGAUGGAAUGAGUACAAA
Molecule: non-coding RNA, 135 nt
Organism: Triticum aestivum (bread wheat)
Lineage: Eukaryota; Viridiplantae; Streptophyta; Magnoliopsida; Poales; Poaceae
Source: Rfam